AGAGUUUGAUCCUGGCUCAGAAUGAACGCUGGCGGCGUGGAUUAGGCAUGCAAGUCGAACGAGAAAGUUUCCUUCGGGAGAUGAGUACAGUGGCGAACUGGUUAGUAACAGGUGGGAAAUGUACCCCUUGGCUUGGGAUAACUCCUGGAAACAGGAGCUAAUACCAGAUGUGACUCACGGGUCUUCGGUCCUGUGGGUUAAAGAUGCUUCUUUUAUUAGUUGUGUCACCAAGAGAUCGUCCCGCCCCUGAUUAGCUUGACGGUGGGGUAAUGGCCUACCGUGGCGACAAUCAGUAGCUGGUCUGAGAGGAUGGUCAGCAACACUGGGACUGAGAUACGGCCCAGACUCCUACGGGAGGCAGCAGUCUAGAGGCUUCGGCAAUGGACGAAAGUCUGACCGAGCGACGCCGCGUGUGUGAUGAAGGCCUUCGGGUCGUAAAGCACUGUCAGCAGGGAAGAAGGUCUUGGCGGUGUCCCUCCAAGAUUUGACGGUACCUGCAGAGGAAGCUCCGGCUAACUCCGUGCCAGCAGCCGCGGUAAUACGGAGGGAGCAAGCGUUAUUCGGAAUUAUUGGGCGUAAAGAGCGCGUAGGCGGAUGUUUAGGUCUGACGUGAAAUCGUUACCGCUUAACGGAACGACGCCGUUGGAAACCGGAUAUCUUGAGUAUGGCAGAGGUUGGUGGAAUUCCUGGUGUAGCGGUGGAAUGCGCAGAUAUCAGGAAGAACACCGGUGGCGAAGGCGACCAACUGGGCCAUUACUGACGCUGAGGCGCGAAAGCUAGGGUAGCGAACGGGAUUAGAUACCCCGGUAGUCCUAGCCGUAAACGAUGGAUGCUAGACGUGGGAGGUAUCGACCCCCUCCGUGUCGCAGUUAACGCAUUAAGCAUCCCGCCUGGGGAGUACGAUCGCAAGAUUGAAACUCAAAGGAAUUGACGGGGGCCCGCACGAGCGGUGGAGCAUGUGGUUUAAUUCGACGCAACGCGAAGAACCUUACCUGGGCUUGAACUGCAGGGAAAAGCCGGUGAAAGCCGGUGUGACCUUCGGGUCGUUCCUGUAGAGGUGCUGCAUGGCUGUCGUCAGCUCGUGUCGUGAGAUGUUGGGUUAAGUCCCGCAACGAGCGCAACCCUUGUCGUUAGUUACCAGCGAGUAAUGUCGGGGACUCUAACGAGACCGCCCGCGCAAGCGGGAGGAAGGUGGGGACGACGUCAAGUCAUCAUGGCCCUUACGUCCAGGGCUACACACGUGCUACAAUGGCGAGUACAACGCGCAGCCAACCCGCGAGGGUGAGCGAAUCGCUUAAAGCUCGUCUCAGUUCGGAUUGGAGUCUGCAACUCGACUCCAUGAAGGUGGAAUCGCUAGUAAUCGCGUAUCAGCAAUGGCGCGGUGAAUACGUUCCCGGGCCUUGUACACACCGCCCGUCACACCACGAAAGUCGGUUGUUCCAGAAGUCGCUACGCUAACCCUCUGGGAGGCAGGCGCCAAAGGAAUGACCGGUGAUUGGGGUGAAGUCGUAACAAGGUA
Molecule: ribosomal RNA, 1519 nt
Filed under: metagenome
Description: bacterial SSU rRNA
Rfam family: Bacterial small subunit ribosomal RNA
Source: RNAcentral